AAUGAUUUUAAUUGGGCAGCGAUGUCACGUAAUUCCAUAAUGUGCUCGCGUAUGCCACCGUUAUCAUUAUACUUUAAGGAAGCAAACCUUGAUAUUAAGGUGCUGGCUAGGGCUUUCUUUGAACUCACAAAUUGCUCUUCUACUACUGUUAAGAAUUCUUUUGCAGUUUUGCAAUCAGGAAUUGAGCCCCUUAUCUUUCUGGAGAUAUGAUUUUGUAUGAG
Molecule: long non-coding RNA, 221 nt
Filed under: Phoenix dactylifera (date palm)
Lineage: Eukaryota; Viridiplantae; Streptophyta; Magnoliopsida; Arecales; Arecaceae
Description: long non-coding RNA (PDAC_LNC014819)
Source: RNAcentral